This 497-nucleotide ribosomal RNA is filed under the name uncultured bacterium. Its description in RNAcentral is "partial 16S ribosomal RNA". It matches the Rfam family "Bacterial small subunit ribosomal RNA", at positions 28 to 507 of the family's 1533-position model. The record is from RNAcentral.
GAUGAACGCUGGCGGCGUGCCUAAUACAUGCAAGUCGAGCGAACAGAUAAGGAGCUUACUCCUUUGACGUUAGCGGCGGACGGGUGAGUAACACGUGGGUAACCUACCUAUAAGACUGGGAUAACUUCGGGAAACCGGAGCUAAUACCGGAUAAUAUUUCGAACCGCAUGGUUCGAUAGUGAAAGAUGGUUUUGCUAUCACUUAUAGAUGGACCCGCGCCGUAUUAGCUAGUUGGUAAGGUAACGGCUUACCAAGGCGACGAUACGUAGCCGACCUGAGAGGGUGAUCGGCCACACUGGAACUGAGACACGGUCCAGACUCCUACGGGAGGCAGCAGUAGGGAAUCUUCCGCAAUGGGCGAAAGCCUGACGGAGCAACGCCGCGUGAGUGAUGAAGGUCUUCGGAUCGUAAAACUCUGUUAUUAGGGAAGAACAUACGUGUAAGUAACUGUGCACGUCUUGACGGUACCUAAUCAGAAAGCCACGGCUAACUACGUG